GAUUGGUUGUGUUGAACUCUACGCUCAUCGAUGUGUCUGGUGAAAGACUCAGAGUGAGACAUCCUGUGGCUGGUGGACGAUCUGUGGACGGUUCCUGUCUCCCUCACAUUCUGCCUGGAAACAAAACAGCUGAGAGGAGACUCGAUCAGAACCAGCUGUGACUUCCUGUGAUGGGGGGAGAGCAGAGCGGGGAGGAGGAGACGGAGGAGAGAGAAGAGGAGGAUGAAAAACAUCACGAGUCCAACGACGCCUCUGAAGGAGAGCUGCCCCAGUGCAGGAUGGGAAACAGGAAGGUGGACAACAUGUGUUUCAUGAUCUCCUGCACUAACUGGUACUGAACUGGUUCUGGUGCAGCAGCUCGACCACUGAAGAACGAGUACAAGCUGUUUUAUGUUGUUCUUUAAAUGAAGAGUUAACGGCUCCAGGUCCAAACUCCUCCGUGGAAACAGAUGAAUCCACUUUUCUAUUGUUUCUUUAUCUGAAUCACAGGUGUAACAGAUUCCAGCUCUGCCACAUUAACCAGUGUCUCUUAGUUAAAACUACUGGGACCAAAGAAGAAUUUAUUAAAUCACAACUUCUAUAAACUCUCCUGCUUCCUCUGUGACGGACAUGCUCACAGGAGCAGCUCUGAGAAGAUAAACCACGUCAGUGUGUUUGUGUCUUUAGUUCCAGAUUCAACCACUUUUCUUUUGACCUGCAAAAACAGAAUUUUGAAAAAUGUGAUGAUAAAAAUGUGAUGAUGAUGAUAAUUUCCCUGAGGAUAUUAAAUGAAACUACACAAAG
Long non-coding RNA from Pleuronectes platessa (European plaice), 783 nucleotides. RefSeq lists it as uncharacterized. The record is from RefSeq and is a predicted model, not a curated record. The transcript has 3 exons. Lineage: Eukaryota; Metazoa; Chordata; Actinopteri; Pleuronectiformes; Pleuronectidae.